Brienomyrus brachyistius is the source of this 908-nucleotide long non-coding RNA. RefSeq lists it as uncharacterized. The transcript has 3 exons. NCBI's taxonomy places the organism in Eukaryota, Metazoa, Chordata, Actinopteri, Osteoglossiformes, Mormyridae. The record is from RefSeq and is a predicted model, not a curated record.
AUCAGGCACUUGCUGCUGGAGGGGGACCUGCCUGUACCGCGCUCCAAGAACGUCCUGAAAUGCCCUAUACGUUACAAGCGAUUAAUGCUGCAAGUGGGCUGAAGGGCAUUUCCCUUAAUUUCCACACAUUUCGGUUACUUUUUUGAUGAGGCAAGAAAACAUCACAGAAGCAACUAGCGAAGUAAAAAAUAAACGGCAACAAAAUAAUUAACGAGUUGUUCGCAAAAGAUGAUAGUGAACGGCAAACAAUUAAAAGCGCGCGGGCUUAUUCCACGCAAAAAAACAUGCGCUCUCUUCUUCCCAUGGACUACUCAGACGGACUACGUAAGCAUUGAGAGCAAGCUUGGGUGUCAUCCAGUACGAGCCCAGCCAUGCCGUGGGCUUCUUUCGUGAGCACACCAGGAGUCGCUGGGAUCAGUGAGUUAGGAUCAACUGGGAAAACAUUCCACAAGGUGGAGAUGAAACGCUUGGCAAGCAAUCUUUGCGAGAGAGCUGCCUUCCUAUGGCGAGGACACCAUCACCCCUAUACCAGAACCCACUGGGCAAAUCGAACAGAGGGAUCAGUUGUCCAUCAUUGACACUAAGAGGAUCAAACUGCUUUAAAACUGCCGUUAACACUGAGUGAGUACUGAGUGGGUACUGAGUGAGUACUGAGUGAGUACUCACAGUAAAUUUCACGUUUCUAGUCUCGUUCAAGUCUCCAUAUAUUCAUGGAAAUGGAAUUAUUCUGGACUUCGAACAGGACUUCUGGGCUAUUUCAAAAUAUCCUGAAAUAAUCACACUUCUACCACAUCCCAAUAAUACUUGUAUACUGUAUUUUAUUUUUAUUGCAGAUGUAUAAAAAAAUUCUAAUCUGACGGUGUACCAUAGGAAUCAAAGGGAAAUAAUUUACCCCAAAAAACAAUAAU